RNAcentral lists this long non-coding RNA (943 nucleotides) under Olea europaea subsp. europaea. Lineage: Eukaryota; Viridiplantae; Streptophyta; Magnoliopsida; Lamiales; Oleaceae. The record is from RNAcentral.
AGUUUUGGGAUUGAUCACUUCGAGAGGAAUAUCAAGUCUUCCGCAACAUGGUUUUCUGUGGUGCAAUGAGGGACGCCGAAUUGCAGUGCCUAGAUGCCUGUAAUUCCCACAAUUGCAACUCGGCGUCGUCAUUGCACCACUGACAAUCAUUUGUUGCCCUAUUUCAAGAGUAUUUUGUCACAAAACUUGGCUAUUUUAGGCACCCAUGGUGCUUAGCUAUCUCUCUAAGAGUGUCAAUCAGCACACUAACAAACCAUUUCAUUUGAUCAUACGUCCGUAUAUUCGAGUUUUUAACAAUAGUGGUUUAAAAAUAGUAAGAAAAUAAUGUUCUAUAUGACUCUGAACUUGGAGAUUUAUAUUGUCAGCUUAAUUAUUAAUUGGGUUUGGUUUGAUAUUACUAUGCUUUUAAGAAAAUCAACUUUUGUUUUGUUGGAAAAAAAAUGGCUGCAGAAAGUAUCAAUUAAGUGUAUGAUAAACUUUUGUUUCAAAAUAAUUGCAUAUUAAAAUCAUAAUUUUAACAUUUUGAUUAACGAAUGAUUUAUUGUUAUACCUAGAGAAAAUAGACGGUCAACUCUAGGUUGACUACGUAACUCGGCCUAUGAACAUAGCUUUCUCCAUACAUGAGCCAAGAAUUAUUGAUUUGGAGUAUUAUUCAUUUUGAGAAUUAUAUUUUGAAAACCUGGAAAUAUGUAACAAGGGUUUUUUAAGUUUUUAAGGUAUGUGUUAUUUUAUUUAAGUAUUAGUCUACAAUAAUUAAAAUAAUAUUAAAAUUAAGAAAUACACGUAGACUAAUAAGGUUUAAUGCUUGACAUUCACGCCUUACACAUUUUAGAACAUUGAUUGUGUUGAUAUAUAAUCACUAAAUUGAAUUAAGCUUUCGGUACGAACUUUCCAUCAGUUCAGCUUCUGACAGAUGUCGCUAGAGGGUUCAAUGGUCACUUAU